CCUGUUCCCUGACAUGUGGUUGUCAGGGAACAGUUAUUUAACAAAUGACUUCCCAGCCGUUGGAUCGAUGAUCCAACGGCUGGGACAAAAGAUUGCUUUUUUUUGUAUCCGCGCUUAAAAACCGCGGACACUCUGCGUAUCCGCGUUUUUUUCCGCGGACACAUACCCUUUCCGCGGUAAAUAACCGCGGACAUUACAGUGAGUUUUAAAACGCGCAAACGAACGUAUAUAUCAGUGACGGUUACAUAUUCAAACAUAAACACAACACAAACUCUAUAUACACUCACCCUCUCGCACUCUCAUCCUCUCACAACUGCCACCAAGCGAUACUACAAUCCAAUCAAGCUUCAAACGAACGUAUAAAGGUGCGUGUAUAUAUAUCCUCCCGUGUAUAUACAUUGUUUUUUUUUCGAAUUCUAUGUAUGUAUUGCAAUCGAUAAAUUUUAUAGUUUUGAUUGGAUUGGGAUGUUGUGAUUGUAUGUAUGUAAUCAAUUAUGUGUAAUUGAUUGUUGGUUAGUAUUAAUUUGAUAAAUGGAUUGUUAUGGAUGAUGUGUUAUUCGUAGUAUGCUAAGUGUUCGUGAAAAUGCCUCAAAGGAAAUUUUAGUUAGAAUUGUUUGUUUUUAGUGCUAAUUGUUGUUGGAUAUUGAUAGUAUGCUAAGUGUACUUGAUAGUAAAUUAUUGUUGGUUUGUGGUUUAUUGAUUGUUGGAUUGGAAUUUGUUAAGUGUAAUUGAUAGUAUUUUAAGUGUAAUUCAUGGUAUUUGUUAAGUGUAAUUGAUGGUAUGUUAAGUUUAUAGAUUGUAAAUUGUGAAUUCAUGGUAUGCUUCGGUUAGUAUGCUAAGUUUAUUGAUUGUUGGAUUGGUAUUUGUGUUUCAGGAUGGAUGAUAUUUUGCCGGGUCCUGUUAGUGGAGCAGUUAUCGUGGAUAACUCAUACCAUGUGAGUUCAGAUGUUUGGAAUGGAGUCGAG
Molecule: long non-coding RNA, 965 nt
Filed under: Daucus carota (carrot)
Lineage: Eukaryota; Viridiplantae; Streptophyta; Magnoliopsida; Apiales; Apiaceae
Description: long non-coding RNA (DCAR_LNC000198)
Source: RNAcentral